UACGUAGGGCGCAAGCGUUGUCCGGAAUUAUUGGGCGUAAAGAGCUCGUAGGCGGCCUGUUGUGUCCGCUGUGAAAUCCCGGGGCUCAACCCCGGGCCUGCAGUGGAUACGGGCUGGCUAGAGGCAGGCAGGGGAGAACGGAAUUCCUGGUGUAGCGGUGAAAUGCGCAGAUAUCAGGAGGAACACCGGUGGCGAAGGCGGUUCUCUGGGCCUGUACUGACGCUGAGGAGCGAAAGCGUGGGGAGCGAACAGG
RNAcentral lists this ribosomal RNA (253 nucleotides) under uncultured bacterium. Its description in RNAcentral is "partial 16S ribosomal RNA". It matches the Rfam family "Bacterial small subunit ribosomal RNA", at positions 524 to 776 of the family's 1533-position model. The record is from RNAcentral.